RNAcentral lists this ribosomal RNA (835 nucleotides) under Hydnobolites sp. MES432. Its description in RNAcentral is "eukaryotic LSU rRNA". It matches the Rfam family "Eukaryotic large subunit ribosomal RNA", at positions 14 to 869 of the family's 3401-position model. Lineage: Eukaryota; Fungi; Ascomycota; Pezizomycetes; Pezizales; Pezizaceae. The record is from RNAcentral.
GGGUAGGGAUACCCGCUGAACUUAAGCAUAUCAAUAAGCGGAGGAAAAGAAACCAACAGGGAUUGCCUCAGUAACGGCGAGUGAAGCGGCAAGAGCUCAGAUUUGAAAGCUAGCAUCUUUGAUGUUCGCAUUGUAAUCUGUAGAGGAGUGUUCGAGCAUAGCUUUGACCCAAGUUCUUUGGAACAAGAUGUCAUGGAGGGUGAGAAUCCCGUUCAUGGUUGUUGUCUUAUGCUUAUGUGAAUCUCCUUCAAUGAGUCGAGUUGUUUGGGAAUGCAGCUCUAAAUGGGUGGUAUAUUUCAUCUAAAGCUAAAUAUCAGCAGGAGACCGAUAGUGCACAAGUAGAGUGAUCGAAAGAUGAAAAGAACUUUGGAAAGAGAGUCAAACAGUACGUGAAAUUGUUGAAAGGGAAGCACUUGCACCCAGACUUGCUUUCAGUUGAUCAACUAUCAUUUUUGAUUGUGCACUUAAUUGUAAGCAGGCCAGUAUCAGUUAGAGUGGUGGGGCAAAGGUGUUGAGAAUGUAGCUCUUUCGGGAGUGUUAUAACUCUUCAUGUCAUAUCAUCUGCUCUGACUGAGGUUCGCACUUUGGUGAGGAUGCUGGCUUAAUGGGUGCAAGUGACCCGUCUUGAAACACGGACCAAGGAGUCUAACAGUUGUGCAAGUGUUUGGGUAUAAAACCCUUAUGCGUAAUGAAAGUAAAUGGAGGUGAGAACCGCAAGGUGCAUCAUCGACCGAUCCUGAUGUCUUCAGAUGGAUUUGAGUAAGAGCAUAGCUGUUGGGACCCGAAAGAUGGUGAACUAUGCCUGAAUAGGGUGAAGCCAGAGGAAACUCUGGUG